CCGCCCCUAGCUCAACUGGAUAGAGCAUCGGACUUCGAAUCCGAAGGUUGCAGGUUCGAAUCCUGCGGGGCGGGCCA
Molecule: transfer RNA, 77 nt
Filed under: Pseudomonadota bacterium
Lineage: Bacteria; Pseudomonadati; Pseudomonadota
Also listed under: 1 other name
Description: tRNA-Arg
Rfam family: tRNA
About the family: Transfer RNA (tRNA) molecules are approximately 80 nucleotides in length. Their secondary structure includes four short double-helical elements and three loops (D, anti-codon, and T loops).
Source: RNAcentral